UAAAAAAAGGUAAGCUACUAAGAGCGAAUGGUGGAUGCCUUGACUGGUAAAGGCGAUGAAGGACGUACUAGACUGCGAUAAGCUACGGGGAGCUGUCAAGAAGCUUUGAUCCGUAGAUUUCCGAAUGGGGCAACCCAAUGUAUAGAGAUAUACAUUACCUAUAUAGGAGCGAACGAGGGGAAUUGAAACAUCUUAGUACCCUCAGGAAAAGAAAUCAAUAGAGAUUGCGUCAGUAGCGGCGAGCGAAAGCGCAAGAGGGCAAACCCAGUGCUUGCACUGGGGGUUGUAGGACUGCAAUGUGCAAGAGCUGAGUUUAGCAGAACAUUCUGGAAAGUAUAGCCAUAGAGGGUGAUAGUCCCGUAUGCGAAAAACAAAGCUUAGCUAGCAGUAUCCUGAGUAGGGCGGGACACGAGGAAUCCUGUCUGAAUCCGGGUCGACCACGAUCCAACCCUAAAUACUAAUACCAGAUCGAUAGUGCACAAGUACCGUGAGGGAAAGGUGAAAAGAACUGAGGUGAUCAGAGUGAAAUAGAACCUGAAACCAUUUGCUUACAAUCAUUCAGAGCACUAUGUAGCAAUACAGUGUGAUGGACUGCCUUUUGCAUAAUGAGCCUGCGAGUUGUGGUGUCUGGCAAGGUUAAGCAAACGCGAAGCCGUAGCGAAAGCGAGUCUGAAUAGGGCGCUUAGUCAGAUGCUGCAGACCCGAAACGAAGUGAUCUAUCCAUGAGCAAGUUGAAGCUAGUGUAAGAACUAGUGGAGGACUGAACCCAUAGGCGUUGAAAAGCCCCGGGAUGACUUGUGGAUAGGGGUGAAAGGCCAAUCAAACUUCGUGAUAGCUGGUUCUCUCCGAAAUAUAUUUAGGUAUAGCGUUGUGUCGUAAUAUAAGGGGGUAGAGCACUGAAUGGGCUAGGGCAUACACCAAUGUACCAAACCCUAUCAAACUCCGAAUACCUUAUAUGUAAUCACAGCAGUCAGGCGGCGAGUGAUAAAAUCCGUCGUCAAGAGGGAAACAACCCAGACUACCAGCUAAGGUCCCUAAAUCUUACUUAAGUGGAAAACGAUGUGAAGUUACUUAAACAACCAGGAGGUUGGCUUAGAAGCAGCCAUCCUUUAAAGAAAGCGUAAUAGCUCACUGGUCUAGUGAUUUUGCGCGGAAAAUAUAACGGGGCUAAAGUAAGUACCGAAGCUGUAGACUUGCACACAACUUAGAUUAUUUAAGUUUAGAAUAUGAGAAACUAAGUUAUAUGUUUAGUUAUAUUUUUACUGAUUUUUAUAGAGUAAAGAUAGAAAUAAAACUUAGUAAAAUCAGUAAAAAUAUUCUUAGGCUAAAGUUAAGUAGUUUAAGUUGUGUGCAAGUGGUAGGAGAGCGUUCUAUUUGCGUCGAAGGUAUACCGGUAAGGAGUGCUGGAGCGAAUAGAAGUGAGCAUGCAGGCAUGAGUAGCGAUAAUUAAUGUGAGAAUCAUUAACGCCGUAAACCCAAGGUUUCCUACGCGAUGCUCGUCAUCGUAGGGUUAGUCGGGUCCUAAGUCGAGUCCGAAAGGGGUAGACGAUGGCAAAUUGGUUAAUAUUCCAAUACCAACAUUAGUGUGCGAUGGAAGGACGCUUAGGGCUAAGGGGGCUAGCGGAUGGAAGUGCUAGUCUAAGGUUGUAGGAGGUUAUACAGGCAAAUCCGUAUAACAAUACUCCGAGAACUGAAAGGCUUUUUGAAGUCUUCGGAUGGAUAGAAGAACCCCUGAUGCCGUCGAGCCAAGAAAAGUUUCUAAGUUUAGCUAAUGUUGCCCGUACCGUAAACCGACACAGGUGGGUGGGAUGAGUAUUCUAAGGCGCGUGGAAGAACUCUCUUUAAGGAACUCUGCAAAAUAGCACCGUAUCUUCGGUAUAAGGUGUGGUUAGCUUCGUACUAGGAUUUACUCCGAAAGCGAAGAAACUUACAACAAAGAGUCCCUCCCGACUGUUUACCAAAAACACAGCACUCUGCUAACUCGUAAGAGGAUGUAUAGGGUGUGACGCCUGCCCGGUGCUCGAAGGUUAAUUGAUGGGGUUAGCAUUAGCGAAGCUCUUGAUCGAAGCCCGAGUAAACGGCGGCCGUAACUAUAACGGUCCUAAGGUAGCGAAAUUCCUUGUCGGUUAAAUACCGACCUGCAUGAAUGGCGUAACGAGAUGGGAGCUGUCUCAAAGAGGGAUCCAGUGAAAUUGUAGUGGAGGUGAAAAUUCCUCCUACCCGCGGCAAGACGGAAAGACCCCGUGGACCUUUACUACAGCUUGACACUGCUACUUGGAUAAGAAUGUGCAGGAUAGGUGGGAGGCUUUGAGUAUAUGACGCCAGUUGUAUAUGAGCCAUUGUUGAGAUACCACUCUUUCUUAUUUGGGUAGCUAACCAGCUUGAGUUAUCCUCAAGUGGGACAAUGUCUGGUGGGUAGUUUGACUGGGGCGGUCGCCUCCCAAAUAAUAACGG
Molecule: ribosomal RNA, 2454 nt
Filed under: Campylobacter jejuni
Lineage: Bacteria; Pseudomonadati; Campylobacterota; Epsilonproteobacteria; Campylobacterales; Campylobacteraceae
Description: partial 23S ribosomal RNA
Rfam family: Bacterial large subunit ribosomal RNA
Source: RNAcentral